GAUGAACGCUGGCGGCGUGCCUAAUACAUGCAAGUCGAGCGAACGGACGAGAAGCUUGCUUCUCUGAUGUUAGCGGCGGACGGGUGAGUAACACGUGGAUAACCUACCUAUAAGACUGGGAUAACUUCGGGAAACCGGCGCUAAUACCGGAUAAUAUUUUGAACCGCAUGGUUCAAAAGUGAAAGACGGUCUUGCUGUCACUUCUAGAUGGUUCCGCGCUGCAUUAGCUAGUUGGUAAGGUAACGGCUUACCAAGGCAACGAUGCAUAGCCGACCUGAGAGAGUGAUCGGCCACACUGGAACGUAGACACGGUCCAGACGCCUACGAGAGGCAGCAGUAGGGAAUCUUCCGCAAUGGGCGAAAGCCUGACAGAGCAGCGCCGCGUGAGUGAUGAAGGUCUUCGGAGCGUAAAGCUCUGUUAUGAGGGAAGAACAGAUGUGUAAGGAACUGUGGACAGCUUGACGGUACCUAAUCAGAAAGCCACGACUAACUACGUG
Molecule: ribosomal RNA, 497 nt
Filed under: uncultured bacterium
Lineage: Bacteria
Description: partial 16S ribosomal RNA
Rfam family: Bacterial small subunit ribosomal RNA
Source: RNAcentral